This 795-nucleotide ribosomal RNA is filed under the name uncultured Mycobacterium sp. Its description in RNAcentral is "bacterial SSU rRNA". It matches the Rfam family "Bacterial small subunit ribosomal RNA", at positions 555 to 1349 of the family's 1533-position model. The record is from RNAcentral. Lineage: Bacteria; Bacillati; Actinomycetota; Actinomycetes; Mycobacteriales; Mycobacteriaceae.
UGGGCGUAAAGAGCUCGUAGGUGGUUUGUCGCGUUGUUCGUGAAAUCUCACGGCUUAACUGUGAGCGUGCGGGCGAUACGGGCAGACUUGAGUACUGCAGGGGAGACUGGAAUUCCUGGUGUAGCGGUGGAAUGCGCAGAUAUCAGGAGGAACACCGGUGGCGAAGGCGGGUCUCUGGGCAGUAACUGACGCUGAGGAGCGAAAGCGUGGGGAGCGAACAGGAUUAGAUACCCUGGUAGUCCACGCCGUAAACGGUGGGUACUAGGUGUGGGUUUCCUUCCUUGGGAUCCGUGCCGUAGCUAACGCAUUAAGUACCCCGCCUGGGGAGUACGGCCGCAAGGCUAAAACUCAAAGAAAUUGACGGGGGCCCGCACAAGCGGCGGAGCAUGUGGAUUAAUUCGAUGCAACGCGAAGAACCUUACCUGGGUUUGACAUGCACAGGACGCCGGCAGAGAUGUCGGUUCCCUUGUGGCCUGUGUGCAGGUGGUGCAUGGCUGUCGUCAGCUCGUGUCGUGAGAUGUUGGGUUAAGUCCCGCAACGAGCGCAACCCUUGUCUCAUGUUGCCAGCGGGUAAUGCCGGGGACUCGUGAGAGACUGCCGGGGUCAACUCGGAGGAAGGUGGGGAUGACGUCAAGUCAUCAUGCCCCUUAUGUCCAGGGCUUCACACAUGCUACAAUGGCCGGUACAAAGGGCUGCGAUGCCGCGAGGUUAAGCGAAUCCUUUUAAGCCGGUCUCAGUUCGGAUCGGGGUCUGCAACUCGACCCCGUGAAGUCGGAGUCGCUAGUAAUCGCAGAU